GCCAUUGAUGACUAUUGGGAUUUCAACAGAAAUGCAAGUCUACAUACUUGCACAAGAUGCUGAAACAAUUUUAUGAACUAGGACGGUCUGAGGC
This is a small nucleolar RNA of Manihot esculenta (cassava), 94 nucleotides long. RefSeq annotates it as small nucleolar RNA snoR20a. The transcript has a single exon. Lineage: Eukaryota; Viridiplantae; Streptophyta; Magnoliopsida; Malpighiales; Euphorbiaceae. The record is from RefSeq and is a predicted model, not a curated record.